GUGUCAGCAGCCGCGGUAAUACGUAGGUGGCAAGCGUUGUCCGGAUUUAUUGGGCGUAAAGCGAGUGCAGGCGGCUCGAUAAGUCUGAUGUGAAAGCCUUCGGCUCAACCGGAGAAUUGCAUCAGAAACUGUCGAGCUUGAGUACAGAAGAGGAGAGUGGAACUCCAUGUGUAGCGGUGAAAUGCGUAGAUAUAUGGAAGAACACCGGUGGCGAAGGCGGCUCUCUGGUCUGUUACUGACGCUGAGGCUCGAAAGCAUGGGUAGCGAACAGGAUUAGAAACCCCUGUAGUCC
This 292-nucleotide ribosomal RNA is filed under the name uncultured prokaryote. Its description in RNAcentral is "partial 16S ribosomal RNA". It matches the Rfam family "Bacterial small subunit ribosomal RNA", at positions 505 to 796 of the family's 1533-position model. The record is from RNAcentral.